UGGAAGGCAGGCAAAUCCUUCAGACACCAAAGUCAUGGCCAUCUAGGGUUCGAAAACAUUUCUUUUAAAUUUGAUUUUAAAUCGGUUCUUUCCUUAUUGGCCUACUUAUAUGUAAACUUGGAUUUUGCGGAAAAAUUGAAUAUAAUAUUUUCAGUAUAUAUAUAUUAUAACACAUAAACAGGCCUAAUAACGUAAAUAAUAAUUUGUUGAAAAUUUAAAUUUAAAAUAAGUUGGUUCGCUAUCGAUUAACUAUCGCACAGGUAUCGUUUUUGCACACAAGAGACCGUGACAUAUAACAUGUCAAAUUGACACUUUAGCCAAAAUAUUUUGACAAAUUCACUGGGCGCGUAAAUAACGGGCAUCUUAAGCACACGGGGAUUCACCUGCAAGUUUUAGCCCUCGGCACCCCGAUCCAGAUGAGGAUUGGGAUGCUGGCGACGGGGCAGGUCGUCACAACCGGAGGCUUUUAGACAUUUCGACGGCAACUUUUCGCAAACUGCGAGGACUAAAUUGGGCCGUGUGAGUGUUAAUUUCCACACGGUUUUCCAAAACUUUUCUUCGUUUUUCCUCAGCGUGCCAAACAACAACAAUACUAGCGACGAAAAAACUUCGAUAGGCGCUGAGGUGCGAUAAGUCAGUGAUGGGAGUCCAUUAAUGUCGUGGAACCAGUUCCGAAAGUAGCCACCGUACAAAUUCAAAUAUUUGCGCGAAUAAUAUAAUUGAGGCCGUCAUAAUUUAGGCUAAAUACAUUUAUAUUAAUAUUUUGUACUUUGGUAAUAAAUCGAAUACGUUCAUGA
This is a non-coding RNA of Drosophila suzukii, 797 nucleotides long. The record is from RefSeq and is a predicted model, not a curated record. NCBI's taxonomy places the organism in Eukaryota, Metazoa, Arthropoda, Insecta, Diptera, Drosophilidae.